AUUUCUUUAGUAUAUCGUACAAAUGCCCUCCAAGCAUUAAGUCCCCGCAGGGAAGAAAUA
Molecule: transfer RNA, 60 nt
Filed under: Opisthotropis latouchii
Lineage: Eukaryota; Metazoa; Chordata; Lepidosauria; Squamata; Natricidae
Description: tRNA-Gly
Source: RNAcentral